RNAcentral lists this ribosomal RNA (490 nucleotides) under uncultured bacterium. Its description in RNAcentral is "partial 16S ribosomal RNA". It matches the Rfam family "Bacterial small subunit ribosomal RNA", at positions 30 to 507 of the family's 1533-position model. The record is from RNAcentral.
AUUGAACGCUGGCGGCAGGCCUAACACAUGCAAGUCGAACGGUAACAGGAAGCAGCUUGCUGCUUUGCUGACGAGUGGCGGACGGGUGAGUAAUGUCUGGGAAACUGCCCGAUGGAGGGGGAUAACUACUGGAAACGGUAGCUAAUACCGCAUAACGUCGCAAGACCAAAGAGGGGGACCUUAGGGCCUCUUGCCAUCGGAUGUGCCCAGAUGGGAUUAGCUAGUAGGUGGGGUAACGGCUCACCUAGGCGACGAUCCCUAGCCGGUCUGAGAGGAUGACCAGCCACACUGGAACUGAGACACGGUCCAGACUCCUACGGGAGGCAGCAGUGGGGAAUAUUGCACAAUGGGCGCAAGCCUGAUGCAGCCAUGCCGCGUGUAUGAAGAAGGCCUUCGGGUUGUAAAGUACUUUCAGCGGGGAGGAAGGGAGUAAAGUUAAUACCUUUGCUCAUUGACGUUACCCGCAGAAGAAGCACCGGCUAACUCCGUG